RNAcentral lists this ribosomal RNA (433 nucleotides) under uncultured bacterium. RNAcentral describes it as "partial 16S ribosomal RNA". It matches the Rfam family "Bacterial small subunit ribosomal RNA", at positions 29 to 507 of the family's 1533-position model. The record is from RNAcentral.
AACGAACGCUGGCGGCAUGCCUAACACAUGCAAGUCGAACGAGACCUUCGGGUCUGCUUGCGCACGGGUGCGUAACGCGUGGGAACCGUCCGUUAUGUUCGGAAUAACUCUCCGAAAGGGGUGCUAAUACCGGGUAAUGUCUUCUAACCACAGAUUGAUCGCCUUUGUAUGGGCCGGAGUUGUAUUAGCUAGUUGCGAUUGUAAAAGCCUACCAAGGCGAGGAUCCAUAGCGGGUCAGAGAGGAUCAGCCGCCACACUUGGACGGAGACACGGCGCAGACUACUACGCGAGGCAGCAGUGGCGAAUCCUGGCCAACCGGCGAAGGCAUGAUGCAGUACUGCUGCGUGAGCCCUUAAGUUCGUAGGGAUGUAAAGCUCUUUUAUCCGGCAUGAUUCUGACAGUACCGGGAGAAUAAGCUCCGGCUAACUUCGUG